AUUGAACGCUGGCGGCAGGCCUAACACAUGCAAGUCGAGCGGGGGUUUUCGGACCUAGCGGCGGACGGGUGAGUAAUGCGUAGGAAGCUGCCCGAUAGAGGGGGAUACCAGUUGGAAACGACUGUUAAUACCGCAUAAUGUCUACGGACCAAAGUGUGGGACCUUCGGGCCACAUGCUAUCGGAUGCGCCUACGUGGGAU
Molecule: ribosomal RNA, 200 nt
Filed under: uncultured bacterium
Lineage: Bacteria
Description: partial 16S ribosomal RNA
Rfam family: Bacterial small subunit ribosomal RNA
Source: RNAcentral